Rosa chinensis is the source of this 2611-nucleotide long non-coding RNA. RefSeq lists it as uncharacterized. NCBI's taxonomy places the organism in Eukaryota, Viridiplantae, Streptophyta, Magnoliopsida, Rosales, Rosaceae. The record is from RefSeq and is a predicted model, not a curated record. The transcript is spliced from 9 exons.
UCGAUCCCUCCCUUGGCUAAAAAAGAAAAACUCGGGCUGCUUUUGCUAGGACCUUUCCCUUAGCUGAAAGAAAAAAAGAACCAACCCUAAAUCUAAAAACUCGGGCUCGUUUUCCCGCCUCUGACUCUCAGCCAAUCUCUCCCUCGCAUGCUCGAUCUCACUCUCAUGAAUCUCAGUCCCUCAAUCCACCCUCAAUCCCUUUCACCCUCUCAAGCUCACACACACUCUCAUCCCCCUGCGAUUCCGGCAAAGCAAGUUUGGGUAUGGAAGUUUUGGGUAUAGAAGUUUGGGUAAAGUAAGUUUGCAAAGCAUAGACGUCCUCAAGUUUGGUUCGAUUUCUGGUUCGAUUUCGAAUUCUUCAAGCUUGUACAAGUCCUUCAUCUACUGCUCCCCCACAGUACAAUUUCCCUCAAAUGAGUAAUCAGAAUCAAGUAGCUCCACAACAAGGACUUUUAUGGGGCUGCUCUGCUACAUAUUUUCAUCAAGAAAAGGUUUCAAUUUGGGGGAAAAACUUCUCAAUGGUUUGUGAAUAUAGCCUCUAUUUUCUGUUCAUGGAAGGUGGUAAGGGUUGUAAGAGCUAAUCCACUAAUGCUUACAGCACUUGCUGCAAUUACUUUGGCAUGCUUGGUUCAUCCAGGUUUGGGUCUACUUGUUCUCUUGCUCUCUCAUGCUUUGUGCUGUCAUACUGCUCUUUGCAGGUAUGUCCCAACUUCGAUUGCCAUGUGGACUUGGACGAGUUAUAAAUAUAUUUUCUGUCCAUUUAUUGUAUUCUUAUUUUAUAUAAGUUUUUAUUAUUGUUUCUUGUUGAUGCAUAAAAUUGUAAACUUCAUGAGUCAUUUCCUACAGUAUCUGAAAAAAAAAAUGAUCCUAAAAGAAUAUCAGCUUGUUAUUCUUUUGCUUCAUCCCUUUGAAAAUGUUAAUCUUAUUUUGUUUACAAUAUGUCAUGUCAUCUCCAUACCAUUCAUGUGCAGGCUACAAAAUUUGUUCAUCUAGUCUCCCUGUAUUAGACAAACACUAUGUUAAUUUGCAUACUAAUCCAGUUGUGUACCUUCUGCGCUAUCCCUAUAGUUGCUAAAUUUGGUGCAAUUAUAGGAAAGUAAGAUUAAGUUUCCCUGGUAAUGAAUUACUAUAUUACACGGGAAACUUAAAUCUUACAUGGUUGCCUCUCCUUGUUUCUGUUUUACUUGAACAAUUUAGCUAAUCAGUUUUACGUACUCUGUGCACCUGUUUUAUAUGACUGAACUAUGGCUUUGUAACAGUUAUGUGUUAUCUACACAUGCUCUAUCAAGUCCAUUCCAAAUAAUGUAAUUUAUUCUGAGAUUUGCAAAAUUGGUGCUAGGUGCUGGUAUUUUUUCUCACAUUUGGUUCUCUUGGAAUAUAGAAUAAUGGAGCGCGAGAAGCAGCUUAGCAUACUUUAUCAAAAACAAGGUCGUGCGACCCAGUUUCCAAGUCCAUCUAUUAAUUUAUUGUUUUGAUAUUCAUUGAAAUAUGCACUAGUAUAGCUUUCAGAUUAUCUUUGUAGUGAAAUCAGGAUCUGUGUUAUUUUGUUCUUUUCAAGAAGCAGCUAGAGCAAUUGACUCAUUGCAAAAUUCAUGUUGCUAUUUUGCAUUCUGUUAUCCAAAGAGGGCAUGGCCAACCAUUUCAGAUCCAGUGCUAUAUAUUGGCAGGGUUGAGUGCACCAUCUUGCUGGGAUAUACUGUGCAAUAGUUACACUCAACCAUAGGUUGGAACGAUUAAAGAGAGCCCAAUCUGAGAAAUCAUCACUUCUGGAAAAAGCUGAGGAACUUGCAGAUCAAUUGGCAGUGGAUAUCCUCAUUUUGUCAAAGUGAUGCUUCCAUCAGAUGUUGCUGUAGGCUUCUAGCUUCAACACGUCCACGUGCUUAGAGAAGGCAAGGAAGGUCAUCAUAGCAAAAUGGAGCUGAAGUUGUAGAGCAGGAAUUAGUUAGUGAAGAGUCUAAGCGUCAUGGUGGUAGUCAUCUUCAGCAGGGAAAACUGGCAACUCACAGUGAUGAGUUGGGAAGCUUAUCUCCAAAAGAGCUUGACGAAGCAAUUAUGCUUGAGACUGCACUUUUUGGUAAAUUUCCAUACACAUUUUGGUAAAUUGUGGAGGACAAGAACUUGGAUUUUAGUAUGAAGUGGGGAACGAGGUCAAAUUUGGUUUACACAGUCAAUGAUAUUGAUGAGAUCCGAGCGGAAUGGGCUGAGCAUGUUUUGAAGUUCCCAGAAAAUUAAGUAUCAGCCUAUAUAUAUGCUUUUGUUUCUGGUAGGUUAUGAGCAGUAGUAGCGUCUAGGAACUGCUUUUGUGCAUUUUGACAGAACUGCCUAUAUAUAUGCUUUUGUUUCUGGUAGGUUAUGAGCAGUAGUAGUGGCUAGGAACUGCUUUUGUGCAUUUUGACAGAACUGAUGGAAAGUGUUGAACAAAUGCAUGCAGUUGCUGUAACUACUCUAUGGAUGCUACUAGGUUUUUGUCUUAGUUAGAUUAAGAUCCGUGCAACAAUGGCAGUCAUUAAAAUCAUUUAAUGUAAAGGCUAGCAUGCUAGCUAGCUUAGUAUUAUGCUACUGAUGGGAAUGUAUUUUGGUGGGUUGAUUUAUGCAAUGAGGAAUUUGUUGA